RNAcentral lists this ribosomal RNA (477 nucleotides) under uncultured bacterium. RNAcentral describes it as "partial 16S ribosomal RNA". It matches the Rfam family "Bacterial small subunit ribosomal RNA", at positions 28 to 507 of the family's 1533-position model. The record is from RNAcentral.
GAUGAACGCUGGCGGCGUGCCUAACACAUGCAAGUCGAACGAAGCACCUUACCUGAUUCUUCGGAUGAAAGUUUGGUGACUGAGUGGCGGACGGGUGAGUAACGCGUGGGUAACCUGCCCUGUACAGGGGGAUAACAGCUGGAAACGGCUGCUAAUACCGCAUAAGCGCACGAGGAGACAUCUCCUUGUGUGAAAAACUCCGGUGGUACAGGAUGGGCCCGCGUCUGAUUAGCUGGUUGGCAGGGUAACGGCCUACCAAGGCAACGAUCAGUAGCCGGUAUGAGAGGAUGAACGGCCACAUUGGAACUGAGACACGGUCCAAACUCCUACGGGAGGCAGCAGUGGGGAAUAUUGCACAAUGGGGGAAACCCUGAUGCAGCAACGCCGCGUGAGUGAAGAAGUAUUUCGGUAUGUAAAGCUCUAUCAGCAGGGAAGAUAAUGACGGUACCUGACUAAGAAGCUCCGGCUAAAUACGUG